RNAcentral lists this unclassified non-coding RNA (365 nucleotides) under uncultured Ascomycota. Its description in RNAcentral is "sequence contains ITS1". The stretch from base 1 to 107 matches the Rfam family "5.8S ribosomal RNA", at positions 50 to 154 of the family's 154-position model. The record is from RNAcentral. Lineage: Eukaryota; Fungi; Ascomycota.
AAAAUGCGAUACCUGGUGUGAAUUGCAGAAUCCCGCGAACCAUCGAGUUUUUGAACGCAAGUUGCGCCCGAGGCCUUCCGGCCGAGGGCACGUCUGCCUGGGCGUCACGCCAACAGACACUCCCAACCCACCCUCGGGGAGGGAUGUGGUUUUUGGCUCCCCGUGCCGCAUGGCGCGGUGGGCCGAAGUUGGGGCUGCCGGCGAUUCGUGUCGGGCACAGCACGUGGUGGGCGACACUUAGUUGUUCUCGGUGCAGCGCCCCGACACGUGGCCGGUGCAUCGGCCCUAAGGACCCUUCGGGCACCGCAGCACAUCGUUGCUCGGACCGCGACCCCAGGUCAGUCGGGACCACCCGCUGAGUUUAA